RNAcentral lists this ribosomal RNA (508 nucleotides) under uncultured bacterium. RNAcentral describes it as "partial 16S ribosomal RNA". It matches the Rfam family "Bacterial small subunit ribosomal RNA", at positions 28 to 546 of the family's 1533-position model. The record is from RNAcentral.
GACGAACGCUGGCGGCGUGCUUAACACAUGCAAGUCGAACGGAAAGGCCCUGCUUUUGUGGGGUGCUCGAGUGGCGAACGGGUGAGUAACACGUGAGUAACCUGCCCUUGACUUUGGGAUAACUUCAGGAAACUGGGGCUAAUACCGGAUAGGAGCUCCUGCUGCAUGGUGGGGGUUGGAAAGUUUCGGCGGUUGGGGAUGGACUCGCGGCUUAUCAGCUUGUUGGUGGGGUAGUGGCUUACCAAGGCUUUGACGGGUAGCCGGCGUGAGAGGGUGACCGGUCGAUGUGGGACUGAGCCGUGGCCCAGAGUCCAGCGGUGGGCGGCAGUGGAGAAGCUGGCACAGGGACGGGAGCGGUGGCGCGCCAGCGCCGUGCGGGCAGUGUCGUCGGCCGGUGUGUACGCCGCUUGCGCGUGGGACGAGGUGUGUGUGACGGUAAGGCGAAAAGAAGCACCGGCCAACUACGUGCCAGCGGCCGGGUUCACGGCCGACGGGCCCACCUCUGCCC